RNAcentral lists this unclassified non-coding RNA (3121 nucleotides) under Leishmania donovani. RNAcentral describes it as "gene:LdHU3.35.6680(CDS-product:polyadenylate-bind ing_protein_1)". Lineage: Eukaryota; Euglenozoa; Kinetoplastea; Trypanosomatida; Trypanosomatidae. The record is from RNAcentral.
CGCGACAGCAUUUGGCCCUCCCGCGUCGCUCGCUCAUUUCCUUUAUUUCUGAUUUCACGCGUCAACACGCCGUUCUUUCUAUCAAGAAAAACAACAAUAACACUCCCCCCACUGCCACAGAAACACACACGCACGCUUUCGCCUCUCACACACGACUUGAAAGAAAACAAAAGCAGCGCUGUCGCUUCGUGUUCUUUCUUUUCCCUUUUUCUUUUUCAUUUUACUCUCUUCAGUUCACUCAAAUGGCUGCUGCUGUCCAGGAAGCUGCUGCCCCGGUGGCACAUCAGCCGCAGAUGGACAAGCCGAUGCAGAUCGCUUCCAUCUACGUUGGCGACCUUGAUGCCGCCAUCAACGAGCCGCAGCUGGUGGAGCUGUUCAAGCCGUUUGGCACCAUUCUGAACGUGCGUGUUUGCCGCGACAUCAUCACACAGCGCUCGCUGGGCUACGGCUACGUCAACUUCGACAACCACGACAGCGCGGAGAAGGCGAUCGAGUCCAUGAACUUCAAGCGUGUGGGUGACAAAUGCGUACGCCUCAUGUGGCAGCAGCGCGACCCCGCCCUCCGCUACAGCGGCAACGGCAACGUGUUCGUGAAGAACCUGGAGAAGGACGUGGACAGCAAGAGCCUGCACGACAUCUUCACCAAGUUCGGCUCGAUUCUAUCCUGCAAGGUAAUGCAGGACGAGGAGGGCAAGAGCCGCGGCUACGGCUUCGUUCACUUCAAAGACGAGACGUCCGCCAAGGACGCCAUUGUGAAGAUGAACGGCGCUGCCGAUCACGCCUCAGAGGACAAGAAGGCGCUCUACGUGGCCAACUUCAUUCGCCGCAAUGCACGCCUUGCCGCGCUCGUGGCAAACUUCACGAAUGUGUAUAUCAAGCAGGUGCUGCCGACAGUGAACAAGGAAGUCAUCGAGAAGUUCUUCGCAAAGUUCGGCGGCAUCACUUCCGCUGCAGCCUGCAAGGACAAGAGCGGCCGCGUGUUCGCCUUCUGCAACUUCGAGAAGCACGACGACGCCGUCAAGGCGGUCGAAGCGAUGCACGACCAUCACAUCGACGGCAUCACGGCACCUGGUGAGAAGCUGUACGUACAGCGUGCCCAGCCGCGCAGCGAGCGCCUCAUCGCCCUUCGACAGAAGUACAUGCAGCACCAAUCCCUUGGCAACAACCUGUACGUGCGCAACUUCGACCCUGAGUUCACGGGCGCGGACCUGCUCGAGCUCUUCAAGGAGUACGGCGAAGUCAAGAGCUGCCGUGUGAUGGUGAGCGAGAGUGGCGCGAGCCGCGGCUUCGGUUUCGUGAGUUUCUCGAAUGCCGACGAGGCCAACGCCGCUCUUCGCGAGAUGAACGGUCGCAUGCUGAACGGCAAGCCCCUCAUCGUCAACAUUGCUCAGCGCCGCGACCAGCGCUACACGAUGCUGCGCCUGCAGUUCCAGCAGCGCCUGCAGAUGAUGAUGCGCCAGAUGCACCAGCCGAUGCCGUUCGUCGGCGGCCAGGGCCGUCCGAUGCGUGGCCGCGGUGGUCGCCAGCAGCUGGGUGGCCGCGCGCAGGGCCAUCCGAUGCCGAUGCCCUCACCACAGCAGCCGCAGGCGCCGGCGCAGCCACAGGGCUUCGCCACGCCAUCGGCCGUCGGUUUCGUGCAGGCGACGCCGAAGCACUCCCCCGGUGAUGUCCCCGAGACGCCGCCGUUGCCGCCGAUCACACCACAGGAGCUCGAAAGCAUGUCGCCCCAGGAACAGCGAGCCGCCUUGGGUGACCGUCUCUUCCUGAAGGUGUACGAGAUUGCGCCAGAGCUGGCGCCGAAGAUCACGGGUAUGUUCCUCGAGAUGAAACCCAAGGAGGCCUACGAGUUGCUCAACGACCAGAAGCGACUCGAGGAGCGCGUGACGGAGGCGCUAUGCGUGCUCAAGGCGCAUCAGACGGCGUAAGCGAGAAGCCAGCAGGCGCCGUUGUGUCGGGCAUGGGCAGAGGAAAAGCCCGCGCUCUUGCAUACCGCGCCUCACCUCAGCAGUUCUCAGACUAUGGUCCCCUUCUCUUCUUUCCCGCCACCUCACCCCUCUCACGAGUCUGUUUGCUACGAGGCCGUGAGAGAGAGGGGUUGAGUGGGCGACUUUGUGUGCCUGUCUAUGUAUACGUAAAGGCUGACGUUGUGCUUGUGCUGUUGAUGCUGAUCGGGAGAGGGAGCGGAAGGCCUCACGGAUGACUAGGUUUGUGCCUUUUUUCUUGCCCGCACAAUUCUGAAGUGUAGGCCGCCUUUCGCUUCUUUGGCUUCUCUCAUGGUGUUGGUGCCCCCCCCCCUACCACCCACUUCUGUUUACGGAUGAAGGAUGAGUGGUUAAGUGAGAUAAAAGGCGCGUAAGUCAUGGCGCUGUGCUCUCUCUCCCUAUCUUUUCUGUUUCGUUUCGUGCCCAUCAUUUUUUCUUCGCGCGGUCAUGCCUGUCUCUAGCCGCCUGUUUUCGUCAAUGCCACCCUUCCCUUCCACAGCCUGCCUCUUGUAAGUGUGCAUGGGCAGUGUGGUGCGAGCAGCAGCGACGCGCAGAGGAAAAAAGGAGGAAGCAAAUUCGUGUAAGAGUGACGGAGGGCAAGAAGAGCGUUGGCGGGUACGACAACGAGAUGCUCCUAAAACUGCCGCCCCGCCCCUCCCCUCCCUCCUGCGGCUGAUGAGCACGUGAACAAGCCGAAAGAACACAAGAAAACAAAAAGGAAGUAAAAGAAAACAAAGAGAAAAAUUAUACAAAAGGAAGAAGGUUGUGAAAGGAGGUGAAGUGGCAGAGGAUGAUCGAUCACGUGGCCGGGCGAACGUUGGAAACAGCGUAACGUCCGUCGUGGAUGUCACGUGUGACGUGCACGGGCUUUCUUUUUGCCCACUUUGCCGUUCGGCCCUUCGCUCUUCCUCUCCUUCUUUUUUUCGUUCAGUCGACAUUUUCUUUUGUUUGUUUUUUUCCGCCCUCUUUCUUUCAUGCGUGCGUGCGCCUUCCUUUCGUUUCUUCGGCCUGUUCUCUCCCUCUGUGUUCUCACUCUCCUUUCUGCGUUGUCCUCCGCCUUUGCGGUGCCCCUCUCAUUGGUUCCAUUUUUUACGUUCCUCCUAAUCUUUUCUGAUAAGCCCACUUAACGCACGAAAAAG